RNAcentral lists this ribosomal RNA (2756 nucleotides) under Citrobacter werkmanii. RNAcentral's name for it is "partial 23S ribosomal RNA". It matches the Rfam family "Bacterial large subunit ribosomal RNA". Lineage: Bacteria; Pseudomonadati; Pseudomonadota; Gammaproteobacteria; Enterobacterales; Enterobacteriaceae. The record is from RNAcentral.
GGGUUGUGAGGUUAAGCGACUAAGCGUACACGGUGGAUGCCCUGGCAGUCAGAGGCGAUGAAGGACGUGCUAAUCUGCGAUAAGCGCCGGUAAGGUGAUAUGAACCGUUAUAACCGGCGAUUUCCGAAUGGGGAAACCCAGUGUGAUUCGUCACACUAUCGUUAACUGAAUACAUAGGUUAACGAAGCGAACCGGGGGAACUGAAACAUCUAAGUACCCCGAGGAAAAGAAAUCAACCGAGAUUCCCCCAGUAGCGGCGAGCGAACGGGGAGCAGCCCAGAGUCUGAAUCAGCAUGUGUGUUAGUGGAACGGUCUGGAAAGUCCGACGGUACAGGGUGAUAGUCCCGUACACAAAAAUGCACAGGUUGUGAACUCGAAGAGUAGGGCGGGACACGUGGUAUCCUGUCUGAAUAUGGGGGGACCAUCCUCCAAGGCUAAAUACUCCUGACUGACCGAUAGUGAACCAGUACCGUGAGGGAAAGGCGAAAAGAACCCCGGCGAGGGGAGUGAAAAAGAACCUGAAACCGUGUACGUACAAGCAGUGGGAGCACCUUCGGGUGUGACUGCGUACCUUUUGUAUAAUGGGUCAGCGACUUAUAUUCUGUAGCAAGGUUAACCGUAUAGGGGAGCCGAAGGGAAACCGAGUCUUAACUGGGCGUUAAGUUGCAGGGUAUAGACCCGAAACCCGGUGAUCUAGCCAUGGGCAGGUUGAAGGUUGGGUAACACUAACUGGAGGACCGAACCGACUAAUGUUGAAAAAUUAGCGGAUGACUUGUGGCUGGGGGUGAAAGGCCAAUCAAACCGGGAGAUAGCUGGUUCUCCCCGAAAGCUAUUUAGGUAGCGCCUCGUGAAUUCAUCUUCGGGGGUAGAGCACUGUUUCGGCUAGGGGGUCAUCCCGACUUACCAACCCGAUGCAAACUGCGAAUACCGAAGAAUGUUAUCACGGGAGACACACGGCGGGUGCUAACGUCCGUCGUGAAGAGGGAAACAACCCAGACCGCCAGCUAAGGUCCCAAAGUCAUGGUUAAGUGGGAAACGAUGUGGGAAGGCACAGACAGCCAGGAUGUUGGCUUAGAAGCAGCCAUCAUUUAAAGAAAGCGUAAUAGCUCACUGGUCGAGUCGGCCUGCGCGGAAGAUGUAACGGGGCUAAACCAUGCACCGAAGCUGCGGCAGCGACACUAUGUGUUGUUGGGUAGGGGAGCGUUCUGUAAGCCGUUGAAGGUGGCCUGUGAGGGUUGCUGGAGGUAUCAGAAGUGCGAAUGCUGACAUAAGUAACGAUAAUGCGGGUGAAAAACCCGCACGCCGGAAGACCAAGGGUUCCUGUCCAACGUUAAUCGGGGCAGGGUGAGUCGANNNNNNNNNNNNNNNNNNNNNNNNNNNNNNNNNNNNNNNNNNNNNNNNGCCGGGCGACGGUUGUCCCGGUUUAAGCAUGUAGGCGGAGGUUCCAGGUAAAUCCGGUACCUUUUAACGCUGAGGUGUGAUGACGAGGCACUACGGUGCUGAAGUGACAAAUGCCCUGCUUCCAGGAAAAGCCUCUAAGCAUCAGGUAACAUCAAAUCGUACCCCAAACCGACACAGGUGGUCAGGUAGAGAAUACCAAGGCGCUUGAGAGAACUCGGGUGAAGGAACUAGGCAAAAUGGUGCCGUAACUUCGGGAGAAGGCACGCUGAUAGGUAGGUGAAGUGAUUUACUCAUGGAGCUGAAAUCAGUCGAAGAUACCAGCUGGCUGCAACUGUUUAUUAAAAACACAGCACUGUGCAAACACGAAAGUGGACGUAUACGGUGUGACGCCUGCCCGGUGCCGGAAGGUUAAUUGAUGGGGUUAUCCGUAAGGAGAAGCUCUUGAUCGAAGCCCCGGUAAACGGCGGCCGUAACUAUAACGGUCCUAAGGUAGCGAAAUUCCUUGUCGGGUAAGUUCCGACCUGCACGAAUGGCGUAAUGAUGGCCAGGCUGUCUCCACCCGAGACUCAGUGAAAUUGAACUCGCUGUGAAGAUGCAGUGUACCCGCGGCAAGACGGAAAGACCCCGUGAACCUUUACUAUAGCUUGACACUGAACACUGGUCCUUGAUGUGUAGGAUAGGUGGGAGGCUUUGAAGUGUGGACGCCAGUCUGCAUGGAGCCGUCCUUGAAAUACCACCCUUUAAUGGCUGGUGUUCUAACGUGGGCCCGUAAUCCGGGUUGCGGACAGUGUCUGGUGGGUAGUUUGACUGGGGCGGUCUCCUCCCAAAGAGUAACGGAGGAGCACGAAGGUUAGCUAAUCCUGGUCGGACAUCAGGAGGUUAGUGCAAAGGCAUAAGCUAGCUUGACUGCGAGAGUGACGGCUCGAGCAGGUGCGAAAGCAGGUCUUAGUGAUCCGGUGGUUCUGAAUGGAAGGGCCAUCGCUCAACGGAUAAAAGGUACUCCGGGGAUAACAGGCUGAUACCGCCCAAGAGUUCAUAUCGACGGCGGUGUUUGGCACCUCGAUGUCGGCUCAUCACAUCCUGGGGCUGAAGUAGGUCCCAAGGGUAUGGCUGUUCGCCAUUUAAAGUGGUACGCGAGCUGGGUUUAGAACGUCGUGAGACAGUUCGGUCCCUAUCUGCCGUGGGCGCUGGAGAAUUGAGGGGGGCUGCUCCUAGUACGAGAGGACCGGAGUGGACGCAUCACUGGUGUUCGGGUUGUCAUGCCAAUGGCACUGCCCGGUAGCUAAAUGCGGAAGAGAUAAGUGCUGAAAGCAUCUAAGCACGAAACUUGCCCCGAGAUGAGUUCUCCCUGAGAC